UGACCUCGAAUCAGGUAGGACUACCCGCUGAACUUAAGCAUAUCAAUAAGCGGAGGAAAAGAAACCAACAGGGAUUGCCCCAGUAACGGCGAGUGAAGCGGCAACAGCUCAAAUUUGAAAUCUGGUCCCCAGGGCCCGAGUUGUAAUUUGCAGAGGAUGCUUUUGGUGAGGUGCCUUCCGAGUUCCCUGGAACGGGACGCCAUAGAGGGUGAGAGCCCCGUCUGGUUGGAUACCGAGCCUCUGUAAAGCUCCUUCGACGAGUCGAGUAGUUUGGGAAUGCUGCUCUAAAUGGGAGGUAUAUGUCUUCUAAAGCUAAAUAUUGGCCAGAGACCGAUAGCGCACAAGUAGAGUGAUCGAAAGAUGAAAAGCACUUUGAAAAGAGGGUUAAAUAGUACGUGAAAUUGUUGAAAGGGAAGCACUUAUGACCAGACUUGGCCCCGGUGAAUCAUCCAGCGGUUCCCGCUGGUGCACUUUGCCGGGGUUCAGGCCAGCAUCAGUUCGCUCCGGGGGAUAAAGGCUUUGGGAAUGUGGCUCCCUCGGGAGUGUUAUAGCCCAUUGCGUAAUACCUUGUGGCGGGCUGAGGUUCGCGCUUUAUGCAAGGAUGCUGGCAUAAUGGUCAUCAGUGACCCGUCUUGAAACACGGACCAAGGAGUCGUCUUCGUAUGCGAGUGUUCGGGUGUUAAACCCCUACGCGUAAUGAAAGUGAACGCAGGUGAGAGCCCUCCAGGGCGCAUCAUCGACCGAUCCUGAUGUUCUCGGAUGGAUUUGAGUAAGAGCAUACGGGGCCGGACCCGAAAGAAGGUGAACUAUGCCUGUAUAGGGUGAAGCCAGAGGAAACUCUGGUGGAGGCUCGCAGCGGUUCUGACGUGCAAAUCGAUCGUCAAAUAUGGGCAUGGGGGCGAAAGACUAAUCGAACC
RNAcentral lists this ribosomal RNA (917 nucleotides) under Metarhizium indigoticum. RNAcentral's name for it is "eukaryotic LSU rRNA". It matches the Rfam family "Eukaryotic large subunit ribosomal RNA", at positions 1 to 941 of the family's 3401-position model. The record is from RNAcentral. Lineage: Eukaryota; Fungi; Ascomycota; Sordariomycetes; Hypocreales; Clavicipitaceae.